RNAcentral lists this ribosomal RNA (433 nucleotides) under uncultured bacterium. RNAcentral describes it as "partial 16S ribosomal RNA". It matches the Rfam family "Bacterial small subunit ribosomal RNA", at positions 29 to 507 of the family's 1533-position model. The record is from RNAcentral.
AACGAACGCUGGCGGCAGGCCUAACACAUGCAAGUCGAGCGGACCCUUCGGGGUUAGCGGCGGACGGGGGAGUAACGCGUGGGAACGUGCCCUUUGCUUCGGAAUAGCCCUGGGAAACUGGGAUUAAUACCGGAUACGCCCUUUCGGGGAAAGAUUUAUUGGUGUAGGAUCGGCCCGCGUUGGAUUCGGUAGUUGGUGGGGUAAUGGCCUACCAAGCCGACGAUCCAUAGCUGGUUUGAGAGGAUGAUCAGCCACACUGGGACUGAGACACGGACCAGACUCCGACGGGAGGCAGCAGUGGGGAAUCUUAGACAAUGGGGGAAACCCUGGUCUAGCCAUGCCGCGUGAGCGAUGAAGGCCUUAGGGUUGUAAAGCUCUUUCACCGGGGAAGAUAAUGACGGUACCCGGAGAAGAAGCCCCGGCUAACUCCGUG